UACGGAGGGUGCGAGCGUUGUCCGGAAUUAUUGGGCGUAAAGAGCUUGUAGGCGGUUUGUCGCGUCUGCUGUGAAAACUCGGGGCUUAACCCCGGGCCUGCAGUGGGUACGGGCAGACUAGAGUGCGGUAGGGGAGACUGGAAUUCCUGGUGUAGCGGUGAAAUGCGCAGACAUCAGGAGGAACACCGGUGGCGAAGGCGGGUCUCUGGGCCGUAACUGACGCUGAGGAGCGAAAGCGUGGGGAGCGAACAGG
Molecule: ribosomal RNA, 253 nt
Filed under: uncultured bacterium
Lineage: Bacteria
Description: partial 16S ribosomal RNA
Rfam family: Bacterial small subunit ribosomal RNA
Source: RNAcentral